GCGGGUGUGGCGGAACUGGCAGACGCGCGGGAUUUAGGUUCCCGUGCCCGAAAGGGCUUGCAGGUUCGAUUCCUGUCACCCGCA
This 84-nucleotide transfer RNA is filed under the name Phycisphaerales bacterium. RNAcentral describes it as "tRNA-Leu". It matches the Rfam family "tRNA". Rfam says of the family: Transfer RNA (tRNA) molecules are approximately 80 nucleotides in length. Their secondary structure includes four short double-helical elements and three loops (D, anti-codon, and T loops). RNAcentral also lists the same sequence under 2 other names. The record is from RNAcentral. Lineage: Bacteria; Pseudomonadati; Planctomycetota; Phycisphaerae; Phycisphaerales.